Molecule: long non-coding RNA, 271 nt
Filed under: Rattus norvegicus (Norway rat)
Lineage: Eukaryota; Metazoa; Chordata; Mammalia; Rodentia; Muridae
Description: long non-coding RNA NONRATT027773
Source: RNAcentral
GUGGAGUACGACAAGCUGGCGAACGAGAAGACAGAGAUGCAGCGCCAUUAUGUGAUGUACUAUGAGAUGUCCUACGGCUUGAAUAUCGAAAUGCACAAGCAGGGAGGCCUGCUGUUGGGUGAAGGGUAGCCAGAGACGGAUCAGCAUUUAGUGAACGAAGUGGGAAGCCGGCUGUGGUUUCCUGAGGAAUUGGUUCCCCAGGCGUGCACACAUGGAGGCUACCACAUUUUGAAUUCUUGGCCCACAGAAAUAAUAAACAGUCUUUGCUUUA